This is a long non-coding RNA of Beta vulgaris subsp. vulgaris (sugar beet), 964 nucleotides long. RefSeq lists it as uncharacterized. NCBI's taxonomy places the organism in Eukaryota, Viridiplantae, Streptophyta, Magnoliopsida, Caryophyllales, Amaranthaceae. The record is from RefSeq and is a predicted model, not a curated record. The transcript is spliced from 4 exons.
CUAGCCACCAUUUCUCAAAAAGGAGAAGAUCUUGCAAUUAUCAAAGGGAAGUAAGAAGGUUUCAAGAAUAAUUAAAGCAGUCAAACUUUUGACUGUUGAUUUUUGUGUAAUCAAGAGAAGAAGUUGCAGGUACAAGUUCUUGAUGUGCAUGGAAAUCAUAAGCAUCCGGAUGGGAGCUUUCCGUACACGAGUACUUUAUUAUUUAAGCUAUCUUAAAUGUUAUGUUUGACUUUACUUGACCAAUGGGGUCAAGGUUUGACUUUGAAGAUGGGACUAGUAUGGGAUAGUCUCGGAGUUUGUAAUUCAUUUACAUACUUUCUUAUUUCCGUUGUAUUAAAGUAUUUUCAUUUAUUUUAAAAGACUUCCGCUGUAUUAUCUGAUUAGCCUUACGUAUUAUCAUGCGUGGCAUAACAACUUCUGCAAUUUCUCCUAGUUUAUCAAAGGAGGAGUCGUGGGGGUGUUACACCCGGCCCGAGAGGCUGUGGGCCUGGGCCGAGCCGUUGACAAAAUUUGAAACUUUCAAGCUCGGCCCGGCCCGACCCACCAUUUCCCAAAGCCCGCGGGACGAGCCCGUGAACAGGUCCGGUCCAUGCCCAGGUCUAGUCACAAACCGCUUUCUUCUGGAGGUGGCAAGUUUCUUGCUAAAAGUGUCUUACAAGCUGAAGUUCAAAUUCUUCUAUCGUGUCUUCAAUGGGUCAUUCAAAAUGAUGUUGGCUCUCUUAAGAUCUUAAGCUUGGUUGCAUCCAACUGUUACAAAACAAAAGUUCGACUAAUGUAGCGCAUCGAUGGACAGUCCAAAUAUAAUCAACUUGGCUGGCACUCUUCCUUUAUGCUUGAUUUUAAGGUCUCAAGAGACCAAGUCAAAUAUGCUCAUGACUUAGCUAGAGUUUUUCGUUCUUCUCCUUGAUGUGUCUAGUGUAGUUUUAGCUCUUGUCAAAAAAGUAAUAAUAAUCUUACAACGUAU